RNAcentral lists this ribosomal RNA (711 nucleotides) under Streptomyces sp. KLBMP 1328. Its description in RNAcentral is "bacterial SSU rRNA". It matches the Rfam family "Bacterial small subunit ribosomal RNA", at positions 118 to 841 of the family's 1533-position model. The record is from RNAcentral. Lineage: Bacteria; Bacillati; Actinomycetota; Actinomycetes; Kitasatosporales; Streptomycetaceae.
UGGGCAAUCUGCCCUGCACUCUGGGACAAGCCCUGGAAACGGGGUCUAAUACCGGAUAUGACUGUCCGUCGCAUGGUGGAUGGUGUAAAGCUCCGGCGGUGCAGGAUGAGCCCGCGGCCUAUCAGCUUGUUGGUGAGGUAGUGGCUCACCAAGGCGACGACGGGUAGCCGGCCUGAGAGGGCGACCGGCCACACUGGGACUGAGACACGGCCCAGACUCCUACGGGAGGCAGCAGUGGGGAAUAUUGCACAAUGGGCGAAAGCCUGAUGCAGCGACGCCGCGUGAGGGAUGACGGCCUUCGGGUUGUAAACCUCUUUCAGCAGGGAAGAAGCGAAAGUGACGGUACCUGCAGAAGAAGCGCCGGCUAACUACGUGCCAGCAGCCGCGGUAAUACGUAGGGCGCAAGCGUUGUCCGGAAUUAUUGGGCGUAAAGAGCUCGUAGGCGGCUUGUCACGUCGGUUGUGAAAGCCCGGGGCUUAACCCCGGGUCUGCAGUCGAUACGGGCAGGCUAGAGUUCGGUAGGGGAGAUCGGAAUUCCUGGUGUAGCGGUGAAAUGCGCAGAUAUCAGGAGGAACACCGGUGGCGAAGGCGGAUCUCUGGGCCGAUACUGACGCUGAGGAGCGAAAGCGUGGGGAGCGAACAGGAUUAGAUACCCUGGUAGUCCACGCCGUAAACGGUGGGCACUAGGUGUGGGCAACAUUCCACGUUGUC